RNAcentral lists this long non-coding RNA (1184 nucleotides) under Setaria viridis. RNAcentral's name for it is "long non-coding RNA (SVIR_LNC002881)". Lineage: Eukaryota; Viridiplantae; Streptophyta; Magnoliopsida; Poales; Poaceae. The record is from RNAcentral.
UCUAUGUCAGAUCGUCCGCAGGUCAUUUUUAGCACAAACGAGGCUUGGUAAAAUGACCAUCACUUUUAGCUCUGAUGUCCAAAUUAUGUGAUCUUGAACUAUAUGGAAAGCUCGUUUAGAGAACUACACAUCCCAACUAAGUGGUGGACCAAAAAUGCAUUGGGUCACAAUAGACUCCGUCCAUUUGAUCUCAUCAAUACACUUGAUGUCAGCCAACACAUGAUUUCUAUCUUUUAACUCCUCACCACAUCAUUUGACUCUCACCAACACAUGAUGAUCCUUCAAUUCCUUUUCACUUCUUCAAAUAAUACGAUGUACUUCACCGUGUGAAAUAUAUCAUUUGCUUUCACUUCUUAUCUUUUUUGCAUUCUUCAUAAGAUUGAUGCGGAUCACUCAUAGCUUCAUAUGACUCUCAUGGUCCAUCAACUCCAAGCCUUUACUUGCCCUUCACCACUUCCUUGGUCCUUCGGCGCCAAGCCCCUUGCUUGCUCUUCACCUUUACAUGGUCCAUCGUAGCCGAGUCUUGCUUGCCCUUCACCAUCAUGCCAUACUAAAGACACUUUGUACUCCAUAUCUUCAAUGAUUUUUCCAUUCAAUACCAUUUCAUUGUAGAUCACAAACUCAUCGUGCUCAUACUUUUGAUCUCUAUUAACACACCAAUGCAUGAUGUUCAUAUUUUUCACACCCUCUCAACAAGUAUACAUCAACACAUAAUGUCUUGUUGUCAUCAAUCACAACCUCAAAUUGUUGAUCCUCAACCAACGAGAUAUCAACCCUUAUCUUGAUGCCGGAACUCAACCUAACAUAUCACUCAUGGAAAUAGUUAGUCCCGCACAUCCGGUUGUCAAUAAUCACCAAAACUCACCAUAGGACAAUGCUGAGGGGCCUAAAUCCUUCAAUCUCCCCCUUUUGGUGAUUGAUGACAGCCCGAUCACGUAAAGAGAGAUAAUUAAUAGUUGCAUCUAAUAUAUGCCAACAUUUACAUGAGUCAUAUACUAGAGGUUUGGUUUCAACUAAUGAAACACCAAUCAUAAAGUGAGCUCCCCCUUGAUAUGUGCCUAUAGAUAUAUGAAAGUGAAACAAUCAUAUGCACAUUUGAGAUGAAACUCCAAGUAAAGUUCACUCUAUGCUUGGAACCUUACCUCAAGAUUCCAAGAGUUUCUCUCCAUAUACAUAUCUCUCCC